Molecule: ribosomal RNA, 420 nt
Filed under: Triticum aestivum (bread wheat)
Lineage: Eukaryota; Viridiplantae; Streptophyta; Magnoliopsida; Poales; Poaceae
Description: partial small subunit ribosomal RNA
Source: RNAcentral
AUGAUGUCGCUGGGCGAGCAGUGGCAGAAUAGCACCACAUCGUCCGCGUACAGCGACAUAGUGGGAAUGGAGCGCCUCGGGUGUAGCCGUGCCAUGACUCCCAUGUCAAUAGCGCGCUUGAUGAGCCUGCCCAAGAUGUCAACGGCGAGCACAAAUAGUUGUGGUGACACAGGGUCACCCUGCCGGAGCCCCUUGCAGUGCCAGAUAGGAGGCCCUGGCUCACCGUUCAUCAGUAUGCGUGUGCUUGCCGAAGAUAGGAGGAUGGCGAUCCACUCCAUAAAUCUAUUUCCGAAGCCAUAUUGGCGCAGGGUUUCCAUGAGGAAGGGCCAGGCUAGGGAGUCGAAGGCCCGCGCAAGGUCAAGCUUGAGCAAGACUCGCGGGGCACCCAACUGGUGGAGAAGCGGCCGAUUGCUUGACUAG